RNAcentral lists this ribosomal RNA (460 nucleotides) under uncultured bacterium. RNAcentral's name for it is "partial 16S ribosomal RNA". It matches the Rfam family "Bacterial small subunit ribosomal RNA", at positions 338 to 795 of the family's 1533-position model. The record is from RNAcentral.
CCUACGGGUGGCAGCAGUGAGGAAUAUUGGUCAAUGGGCGCUAGCCUGAACCAGCCAAGUCGCGUGAAGGAUGACUGUCCUAUGGAUUGUAAACCUCUUUUAUAUGGGAAUAAAGUGCGGUACGUAUACUGCUUUGUAUGUACCUUAUGAAUAAGGAUCGGCUAACUCCGUGCCAGCAGCCGCGGUAAUACGGAGGAUCCGAGCGUUAUCCGGAUUUAUUGGGUUUAAAGGGUGCGUAGGCGGGUUGUUAAGUCAGGUGUGAAAGUUUGGGGCUCAACCGUAGAAUUGCAGUUGAUACUGGCAGGCUUGAGUACGUGAGAGGUAGGCGGAAUGCGUGGUGUAGCGGUGAAAUGCGUAGAUAUCACGCAGAACUCCGAUUGCGAAGGCAGCCUGCCGGACUGUAACUGACGCUGAUGCACGAAAGUGUGGGUAUCAAACAGGAUUAGAUACCCGUGUAGUC